Molecule: long non-coding RNA, 1222 nt
Organism: Mercenaria mercenaria
Lineage: Eukaryota; Metazoa; Mollusca; Bivalvia; Venerida; Veneridae
Exons: 7
Source: RefSeq, a predicted model, not a curated record
GACUACCAAGAAAAUUUUAAAAAAAAACUUUCAUCAUCUUCCGAAGAAUCCUGCACACUGAUUGCAAGAGACCUUCCAACACAUCUGGAUGUACACUAAUGGAACAUGGUUUUAAAGAGUUUCCCGGAGUGCCUUCAAGCAAAUAUAUAACUUCAUUUGAACAGAAACUUGCUGAAUAAGUGCCCAGCGUUCCAGAAGGCAUUUACAGGAUAUCUUCGUGUCUUAUCUAUGCAGUACGCCCCCUGGUGACACAUUGCUACAUCCGGGUGAUAUACUGACAGCUCUCUAUCUAACUGCAUGCGGUUCAUUGGAGAUUGUUACAGUAAAAUAUUUGGUACAGCGAUAUGAGGAUGGUUAGAUACUGCAGCCACGAGAAUCAUUGAAACUUACGUUGCCAACCUUACAGAUAGUGGACCCAGCAUAAAGACGUAUUACAUCACAGCGUUAUAUUUUACGUUUACGUAACUGAUGUCAACAGGAUUCGGAAACGUGUCACCAAAUACCAAUGUAAUUGACAUGGCGGUUUGUUUGUACAGACUUUCUGUGAAUCAAGUAGUUUACCGGUGAUGACAUUCGGGGAUUUCCGUGAGAUUACGUAAUUCUCCGUGUGUGAUAUCGGAAUCCUUCUGUCAUGAUAGGUAAAGAUGAUAUAUUUGGUGGUGACUGCAGUGACGUGGAAUGCUCGGGAAAAUCGUUCUAUUUUGUGCGUGCCCUUAGUUACUGUGAUAUUGACAAGAUAGAGUUACACGUGCUGAAAGAAACAAUGGAUAUAUAACCAGAAUUUUCAAAAAGAAUUAAUGGGUAAAAUACAAGUGACAUUCAAUCUUAAGCUCGACGAAUGGGACCACAGAUCGGAGAAGAUGAGCCGACGUCUAGAGCAUUCGAAUUUUCUCCGCUACCAGCAAAUAGUGGUAUAGAUACGGCGUUCAAAGACAGAUCAGUCAAGACGAACAGUUGACGGAUGUUUCAUUUCUUCAUCAAAUUCCAGCCAGUACGUCAAGGCUACAGUGUGUUUUCGGUGUAUCUAUAAGGUCAUUCUUAGAAACAUCAGACAGUUGAGCGCCCUCUGGUAGUCGGCGCAUUUCCAGCUUUGAGCGCCCUCUGAUAGUCGGCGCAUUUCCGGGAAGCUGGUGAUACAGCGCCAUCUGGAAAAAAUGAGACAGAUGUCACUGUCUAACCUCGAGGAAAUCGACUGCAAAUGAAAAAAUUUAGCAAAGUAUAC